Small nucleolar RNA from Hibiscus syriacus, 106 nucleotides. The record is from RefSeq and is a predicted model, not a curated record. NCBI's taxonomy places the organism in Eukaryota, Viridiplantae, Streptophyta, Magnoliopsida, Malvales, Malvaceae.
AUUCAUGCUUUGGAAAUUUUUGCAACAAGUCCUUAAAUCUUUUCCAUUCCUUAUACAAGCUUUCAUCUUUUAUUUGAUUGAAAGAAGUGAGGUCGUUUCAUAGAUU